UACGUAGGGUGCGAGCGUUGUCCGGAAUUAUUGGGCUUAAAGGGCGCGUAGGCGGGUCGGCCAGUCUGUGGUGAAAUCCCCCGGCUUAACCGGGGAACGGCCGCGGAUACUGCCGACCUCGAGGGGGGUAGGGGCGUGCGGAACACUAGGUGGAGCGGUGAAAUGCGUUGAUAUCUAGUGGAACUCCGGUGGCGAAAGCGGCGCGCUGGACCCCUUCUGACGCUGAGACGCGAAAGCGUGGGGAGCAAACAGG
Molecule: ribosomal RNA, 253 nt
Filed under: uncultured bacterium
Lineage: Bacteria
Description: partial 16S ribosomal RNA
Rfam family: Bacterial small subunit ribosomal RNA
Source: RNAcentral